UACGAAGGGAGCUAGCGUUGUUCGGAAUUACUGGGCGUAAAGGGCGCGUAGGCGGCUUGGCAAGUUGGGUGUGAAAGCCCAGGGCUCAACCCUGGAAUUGCAUUCAAGACUGCCUUGCUUGAAUUCGGUAGAGGUUGGUGGAAUUCCCAGUGUAGAGGUGAAAUGCGUAGAGAUUGGGAAGAACACCCGUGGCGAAGGCGGCCAUCUGGACCGUCCUUGACGCUGAGGCGCGAAAGUGUGGGGAUCAAACAGG
This 253-nucleotide ribosomal RNA is filed under the name uncultured bacterium. RNAcentral describes it as "partial 16S ribosomal RNA". It matches the Rfam family "Bacterial small subunit ribosomal RNA", at positions 524 to 776 of the family's 1533-position model. The record is from RNAcentral.